CAAGCGGAUCUCUUAAAGCUGUUCUCAGUUCGGACUGCAGUCUGCAACUCGACUGCACGAAGCUGGAAUCGCUAGUAAUCGCGGAUCAGCAACGCCGCGGUGAAUGCGUCCCGGGCCUUGUACAUACCGCCCGUCACACCAUGGGAGCCGGUAAUACCCGAAGUCAGUAGUCCAACCUCGUGAGGACGCUGCCGAAGGUAGGAUUGGCGACUGGGGUGAAGUCGUAACAAGGUACC
RNAcentral lists this ribosomal RNA (236 nucleotides) under uncultured bacterium. RNAcentral describes it as "partial 16S ribosomal RNA". It matches the Rfam family "Bacterial small subunit ribosomal RNA", at positions 1264 to 1500 of the family's 1533-position model. The record is from RNAcentral.